UUUUGUUAUGAUUAAUUAAUUAUGUUAAUCCUUGCUUUUCUUAAUUACCAAGGCAGUUACUUUUGGCAUGUCGAUUGCUCAUGUCCCUUUGUACAGACACCCCUUGGAGGCACCCUUUGUAAUCCUAUAUAAGACAUCAUCAUCAAUGAAAAGGAGACAGUUGAAUCAUUUGUUGUCUCUCUUGUUUGUUUCUCGAUUCCAU
RNAcentral lists this long non-coding RNA (202 nucleotides) under Hordeum vulgare. Its description in RNAcentral is "long non-coding RNA (HVUL_LNC005509)". The record is from RNAcentral. Lineage: Eukaryota; Viridiplantae; Streptophyta; Magnoliopsida; Poales; Poaceae.